AAAAAUGCACAAAAUACAUGCAGAAGAUGGUGGCAGAUCUGGUGGAAAAUAGCUAUUCAAUUUCUGUUCCGAUCUUCAAACAGUUUCACAAGAAUAUCAUUGGGAAAGGAGGCGCAAACAUUAAAAAGAUUCGUGAAGAAAGCAACACCAAAAUCGACCUUCCAGCAGAGAAUAGCAAUUCAGAGACCAUUAUCAUCACAGGCAAGCGAGCCAACUGCGAAGCUGCCCGGAGCAGGAUUCUGUCUAUUCAGAAAGACCUGGUAAUGGGAGAUGUUUUCUAAUGGAGAUCCUCCAGUAAAAUCUCUAACAGCCUCUAAGAUUGAGCCUGGGGUUGAGUCACGCAGGGUCAUUGGGCCAGCGCAGGCUGAUGUGGAAGAUUGCACCUUUCAAUCCAGGCUACUGAUGAGUUGGUCAGCAGUUUUCUGCCUUUGUCUCUCACGAU
This 442-nucleotide small RNA is filed under the name Pan troglodytes (chimpanzee). RNAcentral describes it as "retained intron". The record is from RNAcentral. Lineage: Eukaryota; Metazoa; Chordata; Mammalia; Primates; Hominidae.